GUUACAACACGAACUUCUGGUCUUUGGGCAUUUCCCUGCCGGGAUGGAGCAGUUAUACUAAAAUCUUUUUCACCUUCUUCCCCGGGAAUAUAAGCCAGAACAACCAGGACAUCCCCAAAUGGAGCCAUUCCUGUGAUUAAGUAGCUGGUUUGGAAAGAUGCCACUAUAUCAACCCGGUUCAUGCUAGACAUUGGAACAUGC
RNAcentral lists this unclassified non-coding RNA (201 nucleotides) under Hevea brasiliensis (rubber tree). Lineage: Eukaryota; Viridiplantae; Streptophyta; Magnoliopsida; Malpighiales; Euphorbiaceae. The record is from RNAcentral.